Long non-coding RNA from Drosophila miranda, 740 nucleotides. RefSeq lists it as uncharacterized. The record is from RefSeq and is a predicted model, not a curated record. The transcript has 4 exons. NCBI's taxonomy places the organism in Eukaryota, Metazoa, Arthropoda, Insecta, Diptera, Drosophilidae.
GCGUCAAUUCGAAAAUGGAGGAUUCUCAAGUUUAACGCUGUACUGGGGGGUCUCAGACUGUGCAGAUCUAGCCUCGGUCUCUUGGAAGAAAAACUGUUGGCGAAGACAGACGUGCUAUUUUUGUCCAGUCCAAGUAUAAAGAAAAAAAAAAGAGGAAUAAAAACCGGGAAAAGAUCUUAACAGCUGAAUACAGCAAAAAGAAAGAAAUAUUGUGCGUUUAUAAAGUAAAAGUGUGUUAAGUGCCAAUCUCAAUUGAUUGGCGGUUAGUACCGGCUUAAACUUCGGGCAAUCGUUUGGGUACCUGUCUGAACCCCAAUACGAAAGCUCGCAACAACAAUUUCCCCGAUAUUAGGGCCUCCGCCCGCGGCAAGGGACUUAUGCUCCUCGCCCAACUACAGCUCCGUACCAAAAAUUCCCAGCGCUAGGCCGAGCAGCACAAAGCGGGAGGCGUAAAAGAUCGGCUCAUCAGUCGCUUUGCGGGCGCGAGCCACUUAUGUGUCACGGACCCGCGAUAUAUUGGAGGCCGUCCAAUUCUGCGGAAAUUAUUAAAGCUAUGUAAACGCUUUCGUUUUAGGAACGUUGCCGCAGUCCAUGGAAGCGCUUUCAUCGCUGUUUCAACGCAUUUAUUAAAACAAAUCAAAGGAAGGCCUCAGGGGCUUCGUCGCUUAAGAGAGGCUGUGCGCUCUCCCUUAUGCCCUGCUGGCAACCAUAAGCGCUUACGCCGCGCAUAAGAACCAGGC